GGAGAGAUGUCCGAGUGGUCGAAGGAGCACGCCUGGAAAGCGUGUAUAGGAGCAAUCUUAUCAGGGGUUCAAAUCCCCUUCUCUCCGCCA
This 90-nucleotide transfer RNA is filed under the name Clostridiales bacterium. RNAcentral describes it as "tRNA-Ser". It matches the Rfam family "tRNA". From Rfam's summary of the family: Transfer RNA (tRNA) molecules are approximately 80 nucleotides in length. Their secondary structure includes four short double-helical elements and three loops (D, anti-codon, and T loops). The record is from RNAcentral. Lineage: Bacteria; Bacillati; Bacillota; Clostridia; Eubacteriales.